Molecule: ribosomal RNA, 467 nt
Filed under: uncultured bacterium
Lineage: Bacteria
Description: partial 16S ribosomal RNA
Rfam family: Bacterial small subunit ribosomal RNA
Source: RNAcentral
GACGAACGCUGGCGGCGUGCUUAACACAUGCAAGUCGAACGGAAAGGCCCUGCUUUUGUGGGGUGCUCGAGUGGCGAACGGGUGAGUAACACGUGAGUAACCUGCCCUUGACUUUGGGAUAACUUCAGGAAACUGGGGCUAAUACCGGAUAGGAGCUCCUGCUGCAUGGUGGGGGUUGGAAAGUUUCGGCGGUUGGGGAUGGACUCGCGGCUUAUCAGCUUGUUGGUGGGGUAGUGGCUUACCAAGGCUUUGACGGGUAGCCGGCCUGAGAGGGUGACCGGCCACAUGGGGACUGGGAUACGGCCCAGACUCCUACGGGAGGCAGCAGUGGGGAAUAUUGCACAAUGGGCGGAAGCCUGAUGCAGCAACGCCGCGUGCGGGAUGACGGCCUUCGGGUUGUAAACCGCUUUCGCCUGUGACGAAGCGUGAGGGACGGUAAUGGGUAAAGAAGCACCGGCGAACUACGU